GAGAAAUGGUGGAAAAAAAUCCAAAGGAGGCAGAGCCCUUCUGAAGGAGAGCACAGGAGGGGUGCGGGAGCCCCCGUGGCUGCAGCCCUUCCCACAGAGGAGCCACGGCCUCGCCCGCCGCACCGAGAGUCUCGCCAGGCAGUCCCUGUGCGCUCAGCUCCCCCACCCUCAGACCGUGAGGGGCUGCUCUCGGGUCGAACCCCAGGGUUCUCUGAAGGGGCUGCCGUGUUAUGCGGAACGGUAGAGGAGUUGUGCUUCUCCAGCAGUCCCUGACGCGGGUGUUACUGUCUUGUAGGUGGUGAAGCUGCUGCUGCGGUACGGAGGGAACCCGCAGCAGAGCAACAGGAAAGGCGAGACGCCGCUGAAAGUGGCCAACUCCCCCACGAUGGUGAACCUCCUGUUAGGCAAAGGCACUUACACUUCCAGCGAGGAGAGCUCGACGGAGAGCUCAGAAGAGGAAGACGCACCAUCCUUCGCACCUUCCAGUUCAGUCGACGGCAACAACACGGACUCCGAGUUCGAAAAAGGCCUCAAGCACAAGGCCAAGAACCCAGAGCCACAGAAGGCCACAGCUCCCGUCAAGGACGAGUAUGAGUUUGACGAGGACGACGAGCAGGACAGGGUUCCUCCGGUGGACGACAAGCACCUGUUGAAAAAGGACUACAGAAAAGAAACGAAAUCCAAUAGUUUUAUCUCUAUACCCAAAAUGGAGGUUAAAAGUUACACUAAAAAUAACACGAUUGCACCAAAGAAAGCGUCCCAUCGUAUCCUGUCAGACACGUCGGACGAGGAGGACGCGAGUGUCACCGUGGGGACAGGAGAGAAGCUGAGACUCUCGGCACAUACGAUAUUGCCUGGUAGUAAGACACGAGAGCCUU
This 878-nucleotide small RNA is filed under the name Pongo abelii (Sumatran orangutan). RNAcentral's name for it is "retained intron". Lineage: Eukaryota; Metazoa; Chordata; Mammalia; Primates; Hominidae. The record is from RNAcentral.